AUUGAACGCUGGCGGCAGGCCUAACACAUGCAAGUCGAACGAGGGGCGGACGGGAGCGUAAUGUCGGUGAAACUGUCUGAUGGAGGGGGAUAACUACUGGAAACGGUAGCUUAUACCGAAUACCAGAAACUGUGCCCCGAUUGGGUGAGCUGGUUGGUGGGGUAACGGGUCACCAAGGCGACGAUCCCUAGCGGGUCUGAGAGGAUGACCAGCCACACUGGAACUGAGACACGGUCCAGACUCCGACGGGAGGCAGCAGUGGGGAAGAUUGCACAAUGGGCGAAAGCCUGAUGCAGCAAUGCCGCGUGUAUGAAGAAGGCCUUCGGGUUGUAAAGUACUUUCAGCGGGGAGGCGUUACCCGCAGAAGAAGCACCGGCUAACUCCGUGCCAGCAGCCGCGGUAAUAC
RNAcentral lists this ribosomal RNA (406 nucleotides) under uncultured bacterium. Its description in RNAcentral is "partial 16S ribosomal RNA". It matches the Rfam family "Bacterial small subunit ribosomal RNA", at positions 29 to 526 of the family's 1533-position model. The record is from RNAcentral.